CCUACGGGAGGCAGCAGUGAGGAAUAUUGGUCAAUGGACGAGAGUCUGAACCAGCCAAGUAGCGUGAAGGAUGACUGCCCUAUGGGUUGUACACUUCUUUUAUCUGGGAAUAAAACAGGGUAUGCAUACCCUCUUGUAUGUACCAUAUGAAUACGGAUCGUCUAACUCCGUGCCAGCAGCCGCGGUAAUACGGAGGAUCCGAGCGUUAUCCGGAUUUAUUGGGUUUAAAGGAAGCGUAGGUGGAUUGUUAAGUCAGUUGUGAAAGUUUGCGGCGCAACCGUAAAAUUGCAGUUGAAACUGGCAGUCUUGAGUACGCGAGAAGUAUGCGGAAUGCGUGGUGUAGCGGUGAAAUGCAUAGAUAUCACGCAGAACUCCGAUUGCGAAGGCAGCAUACCGGCGCGCAACUGACGCUCAUGCAUGAAAGCGUGGGUAUCGAACAGGAUUAGAUACCCCUGUAGUC
Molecule: ribosomal RNA, 460 nt
Filed under: uncultured bacterium
Lineage: Bacteria
Description: partial 16S ribosomal RNA
Rfam family: Bacterial small subunit ribosomal RNA
Source: RNAcentral